AGACCAUGAUGAAGACAAUGCCUAAGAAGAUCCGUGUAUCUUUCCCAAGCCUCGUACAACGAUUCAAAAUCUAGCUAUAUGAAUGAUGUAAUAUCAUUCCUCAAUUU
RNAcentral lists this small nucleolar RNA (107 nucleotides) under Theobroma cacao (cacao). RNAcentral's name for it is "Plant small nucleolar RNA R71". It matches the Rfam family "Plant small nucleolar RNA R71". From Rfam's summary of the family: R71 is a member of the C/D box family of snoRNAs containing the C (UGAUGA) and D (CUGA) box motifs. Multiple nearly identical copies of this snoRNA have been identified in Arabidopsis, and it is thought to function as a 2'-O-ribose methylation guide for 18S ribosomal RNA. The record is from Rfam by way of RNAcentral. Lineage: Eukaryota; Viridiplantae; Streptophyta; Magnoliopsida; Malvales; Malvaceae.